RNAcentral lists this ribosomal RNA (531 nucleotides) under Arsenophonus endosymbiont of Colletes cunicularius. RNAcentral's name for it is "bacterial SSU rRNA". It matches the Rfam family "Bacterial small subunit ribosomal RNA", at positions 434 to 957 of the family's 1533-position model. The record is from RNAcentral. RNAcentral also lists the same sequence under 1 other name. Lineage: Bacteria; Pseudomonadati; Pseudomonadota; Gammaproteobacteria; Enterobacterales; Morganellaceae.
UUUCAGUCGUGAGGAAGGUGUUAAGGUUAAUAUUCUUAGCAAUUGACGUUAGCGACAGAAGAAGCACCGGCUAACUCCGUGCCAGCAGCCGCGGUAAUACGGAGGGUGCGAGCGUUAAUCGGAAUUACUGGGCGUAAAGGGCACGCAGGCGGUUAAUUAAGUUGGAUGUGAAAUCCCCGGGCUUAACCUGGGAAUGGCAUUCAAGACUGGUUAGCUAGAGUCUUGUAGAGGGGGGUAGAAUUCCAUGUGUAGCGGUGAAAUGCGUAGAGAUGUGGAGGAAUACCGGUGGCGAAGGCGGCCCCCUGGACAGAGACUGACGCUCAUGUGCGAAAGCGUGGGGAGCAAACAGGAUUAGAUACCCUGGUAGUCCACGCUGUAAACGAUGUCGAUUUGGAGGUUGUGGUCAUGAACUGUGGCCUCCGGAGCUAACGCGUUAAAUCGACCGCCUGGGGAGUACGGCCGCAAGGUUAAAACUCAAAUGAAUUGACGGGGGCCCGCACAAGCGGUGGAGCAUGUGGUUUAAUUCGAUGC